AUAAAGAUAUUAGUGCUAUGUUGCUCGUUAAUUUAGUUAAUUUUCUACUAUUUUAUAUGUAAGUACAAAAAAUGCUCUUAAAGUGCUCUAAAGUACACCUUACAGUGCUCUUAAAGCGCAUCCUAGUGUUGUCCCCGGCUUGAUAUAUUACCAGAUGCUUGAAGUAGUUAAGACUGUCGGUGAUCUAUAAGAGUGCUCCAGAGGACUGUACUGGCAGUGUAUUCAGUGCAGCCCACAAACUGUGAGAAUAAUGAAAGCUUCAAAGGUCAUCUACCAGAUCCUCCAAUGAACAAGGUCCGCAUAUGGUGCAUACUAGCCUAGUUCAUCACAGCAACUACAAGGCCAGUGACAAGUCACUCAGUACUCUAGAGAUAAUGGGAAUUGUGAUUGGGGCGCUAUUGGCCAUCGUUAUUGUGGCUGCCUUAAUCGAAAUUCAUAGAAAGCGCAACACUAGCCCUCCACAACGACCCGAAGAACUGAAGCUUAAUCCUGUUAUUGAAGAUCAACAAGCUAAAUUAAAGUAGCUGAUUGGAGCAGAUUUCGUAUGACUGUGAAAUUAAAAAAAUAAAAAAAAAAAAUAAAUAGUAAAAUAAAACAAAUAAAUAAAUAAAAAAGGAAAGAAAGAAAGGGAUUUAAAAAAAGGACAGUGUCGUGCUGUCGGAUCGUGUCGUCUCCUGGAGCCCAGUUGUUCUUAACUAAGACAACAACAAAAAUCCGGUUUGGGACCGGGGCUGUCGCUGGGCAAUUUUAUCAACACUUAUAGCUCUGUUAUUAGAGUUCGGAACAUUUUGUCACAUCCCGGUAUUUUAAUUUAUAUCCCAGUAGGUAAAUAAUAAGUGUAUUUAUUCCAGAUAUAGUUUUUAUUGUAAAAUAGAAUUUUAGAAUUUGUAAUAAAAAAUAAUUUCCUUGUA
This is a long non-coding RNA of Exaiptasia diaphana, 911 nucleotides long. RefSeq lists it as uncharacterized. The transcript has 2 exons. The record is from RefSeq and is a predicted model, not a curated record. Lineage: Eukaryota; Metazoa; Cnidaria; Anthozoa; Actiniaria; Aiptasiidae.